RNAcentral lists this long non-coding RNA (3421 nucleotides) under Homo sapiens (human). RNAcentral's name for it is "HSALNT0254826". The record is from RNAcentral. Lineage: Eukaryota; Metazoa; Chordata; Mammalia; Primates; Hominidae.
UAGGAUCUUGCUAUGUUGCCCUGGCUGGGAUGCAGCGGCUAUUCACAGGUGCAAUCAUAGUGCACUACAGCCUCAAACUCCUAGCCUCAAGCAAUCCUCAUGCCUCAGCCUCCAGAGUAGCUGGGCCUACAGGUACUUAACACCUCAUCUGGCAUCCCCCAGUCAGAUAUUUGGAUGAGACCCCUGCCUUGGCUAACACCUUGAUGAAAACCUGUGGAAGGUUCUAAGGCAGGAGCAAUAGCAAAAAUUGGGAAUGGGAAGAAACAGGUACCAGCCAGGACACCUGAACGAACUUGGAGCUCAGGAACCCAGGAGGGGAUUGGAGAGAGUGGGGAGACUCCAUGGUCCACAAUGAAUGCUCCUUCCCCAUCCGAAAAAAUCCCCUAGCCCAGUUUUUGGGCAGAUGCCAGACUUUUAUUCUGAAGCGUGGGCCACAACCUAUGAGGUAAUCUUUGGAGCUUCAUUCUGAGGCGGAAUCCCAUUGGCCAGUUGGGGAAGCCCCUCCCAGGAUUCCUGGCGCUCCGCCUUCCCUGAAGCCUAUAAAAGCGCAGGUCCCCGCCUCGGCAGCCACGGGACACCUGCAUCUGCCAACAAGACUGGAAGCAGAAAGGGACAGAGACGGCGAAGUUUGACGGUCUGGAAAGCAGAGACCAGCAGGGCUGACUGCUUGGGAGCACCAAAUAUCCGGACAGCGCCUCUCGGGAGGUCCGAGAAGAGAACCGCGAUCUGUUUCAGCACCGGGGCUCAGGACAGUUCCCAGCGGGCUCCGUUUCGUCUCCAGAACCCUGGACAGCUCCUCCAGCCUCCCAAAGUGCUAGGAUUACAGGCGUGAGUCACUGCGCCUGGCCCAAGUCCGGAAUUUUCAACAGGACAUGGGUGUUACUGUGCCCAUGUGACAUUUGGGGAACCCAAGGCCCUGAGAAAGGCAGAAAAAUAACCCACGCAGGGACUCUCAGCCCACAAGUGAAGCUCUUGGAAUGCACUCCCUCCACCUCCAACCAGAGCUCCCCACAACUGACCCUGCCUUCUUCUGCAAGCUCCAUUUCAUCAAGGGAAACGAUCCUUAUUGCCUCACCAUUUCCCACGUGAAGUCUGUAUUGACAUUCUCAUAGACCUGGGAUAUUGUGUCUGCAGCACAUAGUCCAAUUAUUUUCAUGUUAUCUACUGACAGGUCUAUUUGUCUCCCUGUUACACUGUGAGCUCCGUGAGGGCAGAAACAAUGUUAGUAUUUUCACUGCUGUGUCCCCAGCGCCUGGUCCGGGGCCCGGCACACAGCAGGCAUAUAAUAAGCAUGUGUUGAAUCAAUAAAGGCAUCAAAGAAUAAACCAAUACAUCAAUCAAUAAAUGAAUGAAUGGCCUCAGCACACACAGGAAGAUCCUUCUUCUAGGUCUCCCCCAGAGAGAUACUGGAGGGCAAUGGUUGCUGGAGGUGUUUAUUGGGGAAGCAUAAUUGAAUUUGUGGACACUUAAGGGCCGGCCAGCCAACUCACAGCCCCAAGAGAGAGAGCCAGGCUCAUUUAAUUAGCAAUUACAAGGCACUGAUUCCUCAUUAGCUCUGGCAACCCUCGUCUCCCUCCUCAGCCCCAGACAAAUGAAAUCUUUCUCUCUCUCCCAGGAGUACUGCCUCAGUGGGUCCAUUAACAAGCAGAGAAAAUGAGAUUAGAAGACACCUAAAUGCCAGAGGCACUUUAUGAAUGGGCUGAGCAGAGGGAGGUUCAAUGUCUGGGUUAGGUCUAAUUGUGGGAGGUUUCCUGGUCUAUUUAGAAUUGCCCCCUGGGAAUGCAAGGUCUUUCAGAAAGGAAAAGGCACACAGAUAUUGCCUUCUGGGGUCCUCAAUGGAGGAGGACAUUCUGCUAUGGGUGUCUCCCAGUCACCCCAAAUUAAUCAUUUCAAAGUGAACACUCAAUCUGCCCAGCCCCUAGCUUCCUCCCCUGACAUGCCCAUGAAUAUGACAGUCCCUCUACAUGCCCAAGAUCCUCCCCUCCUCAUCCACUCCCCAUGAUCCCCAAGAUGAGUCACUGUGCUCAAAUCCAUCCUCUCUCCUCCAGCCCUCUGCCUCCAUGACCUCCCUCCAGCCCUCUGCCUCCAUGACCUCCGCCUCCCUGCAUGUCCGGAUCUCCUCACUGUCUCCCCUCUGAGCAUACACACACAUACAGCCUGUUCAUUCUCUACAUGCAGCGAGGGGACUUUCCAGAACACACAUCUGACCAAGUUCCACUCCUGCCUGUCACCCUUCCAAGAGCCCCACUGACUGCAGAAUAACGUUCAAAUAUCCGGUUGGGCGUGGUGGCUCAUGCCUGCAGUCCCAGCACUUUGGGAGGCCAAGGUGGGUGGAUCACUUGCACAGGACCACAGGCGUGUGCCACCACACCCAGCUAAUUUUUAUAUUUUUGGUAGAGACGGAGUUUCACCAUGUUGGCCAGGCUGACCUCAAGUGAUCCACCCGCCUCAACCUCCCAAAGUGCUGGGAUUACAGGCAUGAGUCACUGCACCGGUCUAAUUUUUUCAGAGUCUCACUCUUGCCCAGGCUGGAGUGCAGUAGCAUGAUCUCGGUUCACUGCAACCUCUGCCUCCUGGUUUCAAGCGAUUCUCUUGGCUCAGCCUCCUGAGCAGCUGGGAUUACAGGCACGUGCCACCACACUUAGCUAAUUUUUGUAUUUUUAGUAGAGAUGGGGGUCUCACCAUGCUGGCACAGUUGGUCUUGAACUCCUGACCUCAAGUGAUCCACCCACCUCGGCUUCCCAAAGUGCUGGGAUUACAGACGUGAGCCACCGCGCCCGGCCAGCCUUUAUUGAUUCUUUUUAAAGCCACACUAACCUUUUAUUUUCCCCCAAAGACCCCUGGGAGCCCUCAGUUUUUCCUGGCAGUUUCAUCUUUGUACCCCUGACCUCCCCACACACACGCCUAGCUCAGUGCUGGCAUCCAAUAUUCACUUUGGGUAUAAAUGCUUGUGCCUGAGCCUAUCACCUUCAUCACACAGAAAAUCCUGGAGGCCACACACCCCUGUAAAGACGAGCCAUUACCCACAGAGGUCCAACCAACUUACCACCCUCUCCCAGCCACCCCCAAGGACCCAGCUUGCAGCUGCCUGCUCAAUGGCUUUAGAAACUAAAAAAGGUGAAUGAGUUUCCAUCACUGCCCUCCUGGGCUUUGCCGUUAUGGCUGGUUAACUUGACAGAAGAACACAUUAUACUUCAUUUUUUGCUGUUGUCUUGUUGGAAAAAAAAGUGACAGCUGGGUGCAGUGGUGCACACUGUAGUCACAGCUACUCAGGAGAAUUGCUUGAGCACAGGAAUUGGAGGCUACACUGAGCAAUGAUCGCCUCACUGCACUCCAGCCUGAACGACAGAGCAAGACCCUCUUAAAAAAUACGUGAGAGAGGGUGCGUAUGAUGGCUCAUGCCUGUAAUCCCAGCAGUUUG